GAUGAACGCUGGCGGCGUGCCUAAUACAUGCAAGUCGAGCGAACGGACGAGGAGCUUGCUUCUCUGACGUUAGCGGCGGACGGGUGAGUAACACGUGGAUAACCUACCUAUAAGACUGGGAUAACUUCGGGAAACCGGAGCUAAUACCGGAUAAUAUUUUGAACCGCAUGGUUCAAAAGUGAAAGACGGUUUUGCUGUCACUUAUAGAUGGAUCCGCGCUGCAUUAGCUAGUUGGUAAGGUAACGGCUUACCAAGGCAACGAUGCGUAGCCGACCUGAGAGGGUGAUCGGCCACACUGGAACUGAGACACGGUCCAGACUCCUACGGGAGGCAGCAGUAGGGAAUCUUCCGCAAUGGGCGAAAGCCUGACGGAGCAACGCCGCGUGAGUGAUGAAGGUCUUCGGAUCGUAAAACUCUGUUAUUAGGGAAGAACAUAUGUGUAAGUAACUAUGCACGUCUUGACGGUACCUAAUCAGAAAGCCACGGCUAACUACGUG
RNAcentral lists this ribosomal RNA (497 nucleotides) under uncultured bacterium. Its description in RNAcentral is "partial 16S ribosomal RNA". It matches the Rfam family "Bacterial small subunit ribosomal RNA", at positions 28 to 507 of the family's 1533-position model. The record is from RNAcentral.